Molecule: ribosomal RNA, 477 nt
Filed under: uncultured organism
Description: partial 16S ribosomal RNA
Rfam family: Bacterial small subunit ribosomal RNA
Source: RNAcentral
ACGUACACUCCUGCGGGAGGCAGCAGUGGGGAAUAUUGCACAAUGGGCGCAAGCCUGAUGCAGCCAUGCCGCGUGUAUGAAGAAGGCCUUCGGGUUGUAAAGUACUUUCAGCGGGGAGGAAGGCGAUAAGGUUAAUAACCUUGUCGAUUGACGUUACCCGCAGAAGAAGCACCGGCUAACUCCGUGCCAGCAGCCGCGGUAAUACGGAGGGUGCAAGCGUUAAUCGGAAUUACUGGGCGUAAAGCGCACGCAGGCGGUCUGUCAAGUCGGAUGUGAAAUCCCCGGGCUCAACCUGGGAACUGCAUUCGAAACUGGCAGGCUAGAGUCUUGUAGAGGGGGGUAGAAUUCCAGGUGUAGCGGUGAAAUGCGUAGAGAUCUGGAGGAAUACCGGUGGCGAAGGCGGCCCCCUGGACAAAGACUGACGCUCAGGUGCGAAAGCGUGGGGAGCAAACAGGAUUAGAAACCCGAGUAGUCCCA